Molecule: ribosomal RNA, 482 nt
Filed under: uncultured bacterium
Lineage: Bacteria
Description: partial 16S ribosomal RNA
Rfam family: Bacterial small subunit ribosomal RNA
Source: RNAcentral
AACGCUGGCGGCGUGCUUAACACAUGCAAGUCGAACGGUGAAGUAGGGAGCUUGCUCCCUGCGGAUCAGUGGCGAACGGGUGAGUAACACGUGAGCAAUCUGCCCCGAACUCUGGGAUAAGCGCUGGAAACGGCGUCUAAUACCGGAUACGACGCGGGAGGGCAUCCUCUCCGCGUGGAAAGAAUUUCGGUUCGGGAUGAGCUCGCGGCCUAUCAGCUUGUUGGUGAGGUAACGGCUCACCAAGGCGACGACGGGUAGCCGGCCUGAGAGGGUGACCGGCCACACUGGGACUGAGACACGGCCCAGACUCCUACGGGAGGCAGCAGUGGGGAAUAUUGCACAAUGGGCGCAAGCCUGAUGCAGCAACGCCGCGUGAGGGACGACGGCCUUCGGGUCGUAAACCUCUUUCAGCACAGACGAAGCGCAAGUGACGGUAUGUGCAGAAGAAGGACCGGCCAACUACGUGCCAGCCGCCGCAGUAA